GAGUUUGAUUCUGGCUCAGAAUGAACGUUGGCGGCGUGGAUUAGGCAUGCAAGUCGAGGGAGAACCCGCAAGGGGGAAACCGGCGAACGGGGUAGGAUCACCUCGGUAACGUACCCUUCAGACGGGGAUAGCGGCGGGAAACUGCCGGUAAUACCCGAUGAUCUGGCUGGCUGUGAAUGCUGGUCAGCAAAGGUGAGAUUCCACUGAAGGAGCGGCUGAGGCGUUAUUAGCUAGUUGGUGAGGUAACGGCUCACCAAGGCGACGAUGACUAGGGGGUGUGAGAGCAUGGCCCCCACCACUGGCACUGAGACACUGGCCAGACACCUACGGGUGGCUGCAGUCGAGAAUCUUCGGCAAUGGGCGCAAGCCUGACCGAGCGACGCCGCGUGCGGGAUGAAGGUCUUCGGAUUGUAAACCGCUGUC
Molecule: ribosomal RNA, 423 nt
Filed under: uncultured Planctomycetales bacterium
Lineage: Bacteria; Pseudomonadati; Planctomycetota; Planctomycetia; Planctomycetales
Description: bacterial SSU rRNA
Rfam family: Bacterial small subunit ribosomal RNA
Source: RNAcentral